This 246-nucleotide long non-coding RNA is filed under the name Oreochromis niloticus (Nile tilapia). RNAcentral describes it as "lncRNA (ENSONIG00000033159.1)". Lineage: Eukaryota; Metazoa; Chordata; Actinopteri; Cichliformes; Cichlidae. The record is from RNAcentral.
AUGCAUCCCAGGCCUCCUCACACGCCUCAGUGUGAAAAAAACUGUCCUGUGUGGCACACCGAACCCAGGGUGAAAAGUGCCGUGAUCACACCUCGACUGCUGCAGCUUUCCAAACCCAAACUUGCACAUCCGGACUUCCAGAGGAGCAGGGAGGUAAGAGGAGCAGAGCAGAUCAUUUCAGAAACAAAUCCGUGCAAACAUCCAUGCUCCUUUUCAGUUUGACGCCUCGUGGCUUCUUGUGUAAUC